UACGUAGGGGGCAAGCGUUGUCCGGAAUCAUUGGGCGUAAAGAGCGCGUAGGCGGCCCAGUAAGUCCGCUCUGAAAGUCAGAGGCUCACCUCUGGAUGCGGGUGGAUACUGCUGGGCUAGAGUCCGGAAGAGGCGAGUGGGAAUUCCUGGUGUAGCGGUGAAAUGCGCAGAUAUCAGGAGGAACACCGAUGGCGAAGGCAGCUCGCUGGGACGGUACUGACGCUGAGGCGCGAAAGCGUGGGGGAGCAAACAGG
This 254-nucleotide ribosomal RNA is filed under the name uncultured bacterium. Its description in RNAcentral is "partial 16S ribosomal RNA". It matches the Rfam family "Bacterial small subunit ribosomal RNA", at positions 524 to 776 of the family's 1533-position model. The record is from RNAcentral.